Molecule: non-coding RNA, 136 nt
Organism: Hordeum vulgare subsp. vulgare (domesticated barley)
Lineage: Eukaryota; Viridiplantae; Streptophyta; Magnoliopsida; Poales; Poaceae
Source: Rfam
UACAUACUCCUUUCGUCUUAAAAAUCUUGUUUUAGAUUUAUCUAAAAAUGAAUGUAUGUAGACAUGUUUUAGUAUUUAGUUAUAUCAAUUUUUAGACAAACCAAAGACAAGAAUUUUAAGAUGAAGGGAGUAUAUA